GGAAACGGCUGCUAACACUCCAUAUGUCGAGAGAUGAAAUAAUUUAUUGCCUAAGGAUGAGCUCACGCCUGAUUAGCUUGUUGGGGUGGUAAUGGCACACCAAGGCGACGAUCAGGAGCUGGUCUGAGAGGAUGGACAGCCACAUUGGGACUGAGACACGGCCCAGACUCCUACGGGAGGCAGCAGUGGGGAAUUUUCCGCAAUGGACGAAAGUCUGACGGAGCGACGCUGCGUGAAGGAUGAAGGCCCGUGGGUUGUAAACUUCUUUUCUCGAAGAAGAAAAAAAUGACGGUAUUCGAGGAAUAAGCAUCGGCUAACUCUGUGCCAGCAGCCGCGGUAAGACAGAGGAUGCAAGUGUUAUUCGGAAUGAUUGGGCGUAAAGAGUCUGUAGGCGGUUUAGAAAGUCUUUUGUGAAAUACUUCAGCUCAACUGAGGCUCCGCAAAAGAAACUUCUAGACUUGAGGAAAGUAGAGGUACAGGGAAUUUCCGGUGGAGCGGUGAAAUGCGUAGAUAUCGGAAGGAACACCAAUAUGGCGAAGGCACUGUACUGGGCUUUUCCUGACGCUCAGAGACGAAAGCUGAAGGAGUGAUUAGGAUUAGAUACCCUAGUAAUUUCAGCCGUAAACGAUGAAAACUCACUGUCGAGCCAAUAUAUGGAGCGGUGGUCAAGCUAACGCGUGAAGUUUUCCGCCUGGGGAUUACGCUUGCAAAAGUGAAACUCAAAGGAAUUGACGGGGACCCGCACAAGCGGUGGAGUAUGUGGUUUAAUUCGAUGCAACGCGAAAAACCUUACCAGGGUUUGAAAUAAUUUCAAAACUUCUUGAAAGAGAAGCCUCCAUCGGGAUGGAAUUACAGGUGGUGCAUGGCUGUCGUCAGCUCGUGUUGUGAAAUGUCAAGUUAAGUCUUGUAACGAGCGCAACCCAUGUCUCUUGUUGCUGUUUACAGUGCUUAAGAGAAACUGCCGAUCAACAUCGGAGGAAGGUGUGGAUGAUGUCAAGUCAGCAUGCCCCUUACAUCCUGGGCUACACACGUACUACAAUGG
RNAcentral lists this ribosomal RNA (1042 nucleotides) under uncultured marine bacterium. Its description in RNAcentral is "bacterial SSU rRNA". It matches the Rfam family "Bacterial small subunit ribosomal RNA", at positions 152 to 1233 of the family's 1533-position model. The record is from RNAcentral.